Arabidopsis thaliana (thale cress) is the source of this 83-nucleotide microRNA precursor. It matches the Rfam family "MIR5643 microRNA precursor family". The record is from Rfam. NCBI's taxonomy places the organism in Eukaryota, Viridiplantae, Streptophyta, Magnoliopsida, Brassicales, Brassicaceae.
GUGUAGCCGAAGUCCGUACGAGUCUUUGUCUUUGUAUCUUCUAACAAGGACACAAUACUUAGGCUUUUAAGAUCUGGUUGCGA